GCCAGCGUAGCUCAAUCGGCAGAGCGGCGCAUUCGUAAUGCGUAGGUCGGGGGUUCGAAUCCCUUCGCUGGCUCCA
RNAcentral lists this transfer RNA (76 nucleotides) under Thermotoga sp. Its description in RNAcentral is "tRNA-Thr". It matches the Rfam family "tRNA". From Rfam's summary of the family: Transfer RNA (tRNA) molecules are approximately 80 nucleotides in length. Their secondary structure includes four short double-helical elements and three loops (D, anti-codon, and T loops). Lineage: Bacteria; Thermotogati; Thermotogota; Thermotogae; Thermotogales; Thermotogaceae. The record is from RNAcentral. RNAcentral also lists the same sequence under 1 other name.